RNAcentral lists this ribosomal RNA (489 nucleotides) under uncultured bacterium. RNAcentral describes it as "bacterial SSU rRNA". It matches the Rfam family "Bacterial small subunit ribosomal RNA", at positions 29 to 509 of the family's 1533-position model. The record is from RNAcentral.
AUUGAACGCUGGCGGCGUGCCUAACACAUGCAAGUCGAGCGGUAACAGGUGUAGCAAUACAUGCUGACGAGCGGCGGACGGGUGAGUAACGCUUGGGAAUCUGCCUAUUAGUGGGGGGACAACCCGGGGAAACUCGGGCUAAUACCGCAUACGCUCUACGGAGGAAAGCCGGGGACCGCAAGGCCUGGCGCUAAUAGAUGAGCCCAAGUCGGAUUAGCUAGUUGGUAGGGUAAUGGCCUACCAAGGCGACGAUCCGUAACUGGUCUGAGAGGACGACCAGUCACACCGGAACUGAGACACGGUCCGGACUCCUACGGGAGGCAGCAGUGGGGAAUAUUGGACAAUGGGCGAAAGCCUGAUCCAGCGACGCCGCGUGGGUGAAGAAGGCCUGCGGGUUGUAAAGCCCUUUCAGUGGGGAAGAAAAGCCUCGACCUAACACGUCGGGGUCUUGACGUAACCCAUAGAAGAAGCACCGGCUAACUCUGUGCC